UUUGACAGAUUGAGAGCUCUUUCUUGAUUCGGUGGGUGGUGGUGCAUGGCCGUUCUUAGUUGGUGGAGCGAUUUGUCUGGUUAAUUCCGAUAACGAACGAGACUCUAGCCUACUAACUAGGCGUACCCGGUAUCCACAAUUGUGCUACCGGCGGUCAAAUUUCUUCUUAGAGGGACAGGCGGCGUCUAGCCGCGAGAGACUGAGCAAUAACAGGUCUGUGAUGCCCUUAGAUGUCCUGGGCCGCACGCGCGCUACACUGAAGGAAUCAGCGUGUCAUCCUUGUC
This 284-nucleotide ribosomal RNA is filed under the name Orthophagus philippinus. RNAcentral describes it as "partial small subunit ribosomal RNA". It matches the Rfam family "Eukaryotic small subunit ribosomal RNA", at positions 1239 to 1533 of the family's 1831-position model. The record is from RNAcentral. Lineage: Eukaryota; Metazoa; Arthropoda; Insecta; Coleoptera; Scarabaeidae.